Papaver somniferum (opium poppy) is the source of this 1126-nucleotide long non-coding RNA. RefSeq lists it as uncharacterized. The transcript has 3 exons. The record is from RefSeq and is a predicted model, not a curated record. NCBI's taxonomy places the organism in Eukaryota, Viridiplantae, Streptophyta, Magnoliopsida, Ranunculales, Papaveraceae.
CCGAAGUCUCACAAAGAGAAUCAUAUUCUGUAAAUAUGGAACUACCAAUUUAAGUGUUGUUAAGAUCGACUGGAAGGAUGGCAUGGUAUUGAGAUUGUGCAUCAGUUCGCAGGGCCAUGCGGGAUGGUAUUGUUGCUGUUAAUACUGCAGCUGAAUAAGCAUUGACACUUGUUAGCCUGGAAAACUCCAAGAAACUCCUACUAAACUCCCCUCAUAGUUUUCUAAAUGUUCUCUUUUAAUGUUUGUGAUAAUACCUUGUUUUUUUCAAUUUUGGAUUGUAAUUUUUUCUGGUGAAUACUGGUGAAAUGGACUAAUUUUUCCUGAAAUCUGUGUAAUUGCAGGUCGACGAACAACAAUUGUUGCUCAAUAUUCCAACUAACUGAAGAAGGUUCCAGACCCACUAUAUCUACUUGAUGCAGGUGCUUGCUUUUAAAGAUGGAAGGCAUUAUAAAGUUAGGGUAAACACUAUAUCUACUGGUAUGCCUAUGUAAAUUGUAAUUUUUCAUUUCUUUCAUUGCAUAAUUCAAUUUAAUGGUGGCGUUGGUCUUGGUGACUGUUGCUGGUUCAUGCCACCACAUAUUUGGUGGCAUGAAGAUUCACUUCCACCACCACCACCAUUCGAGCUCACAUUUUUGGUGGUUCGGUCAUUUGUAUAGUACCAAUCUAUGAUAUUCGUCGAGAUUAUAUUCCACAAAAAUAUGAAAUUUCAUAUUUUCAGUUCCCUGUUUAGUUUUUCUUUUUUACCUUUUUUAUGUACGUGGAGAUUCACAGGUUGCAUUUUAGUGUCAAAUGGAUUCUAUCCUAUCUAAGCCUCAAUUAGGGAGUCAAUUACAAAAGUGGGUAUUUGAACAUUGAUUCAACUCUUGAUGUUGGAAGGAAACUACCUGAAUGUGGAUUGUGGCAUUUAUGCAAUCAUAAUGUUUUCUCUAGGUACACCAUUAUGAAGUAGGAAUAAGUUCUUCACCAUCAUCGGAGUUUAUAAUUUUGCUGUUUAAUCAAUAGUUUUUUAGUUCAUCGUUUUGUAAUCGAAUCCUAGAACUACAGAUUACACUGAUCAGAACUACAUAUUUUAAUCCUUUGUGUAAUUUGAAACCAAUGAAUCAAUGAAUGUUAAAUUGAAUGAUUA